This 32-nucleotide ribosomal RNA is filed under the name Schistosoma japonicum. RNAcentral's name for it is "partial 28S ribosomal RNA beta-subunit". Lineage: Eukaryota; Metazoa; Platyhelminthes; Trematoda; Strigeidida; Schistosomatidae. The record is from RNAcentral.
CAGCCCCCUGUAACGAAAGGGAAUCGGGUUAA